Molecule: ribosomal RNA, 401 nt
Filed under: uncultured bacterium
Lineage: Bacteria
Description: bacterial SSU rRNA
Rfam family: Bacterial small subunit ribosomal RNA
Source: RNAcentral
GUCGGGAAUUUUGGCAAUGGGCGAAAGCCUGACCCAGCAACGCCGCGUGAGGGAUGAAGUAUUUCGGUAUGUAAACCUCGAAAGAAUGGGAAGAAUAAAUGACGGUACCAUUUAUAAGCUCCGGCUAACUACGUGCCAGCAGCCGCGGUAAUACGUAGGGAGCAAGCGUUGUUCGGAUUUACUGGGCGUAAAGGGCGCGUAGGCGGCGCGGUAAGUCACUUGUGAAAUCUCUGAGCUUAACUCAGAACGGCCAAGUGAUACUGCUGUGCUAGAGUGCGGAAGAGGCAACCGGAAUUCUUGGUGUAGCGGUGAAAUGCGUAGAUAUCAAGAGGAACACCUGAGGCGAAGGCGGGUUGCUGGGCCGACACUGACGCUGAUGCGCGAAAGCCAGGGGAGCAAAC